Molecule: long non-coding RNA, 1456 nt
Filed under: Oryctolagus cuniculus (rabbit)
Lineage: Eukaryota; Metazoa; Chordata; Mammalia; Lagomorpha; Leporidae
Description: lncRNA (ENSOCUG00000033558.1)
Source: RNAcentral
UUGCUUGAACUUGGCUGUGUCCAUUUCAGCCGGCCAGUCCAGCUCCUCUGGGCGUGCUCUCCUCCGCCACACUGCGGUCCCUCCCAGCUGCGAGCACGCCAGGGAGGACACCCCGACCUCCGCGGCCAGGGCGCUUUCUGGGGUGGAGGCGGCCCAGCAGCACCUGACCUGCCCGAGAUUUCAGACCCUCACUGGGGACAAGCUCGGCGAGCGGUGACCUCUAGAUGGCAGAGAGCGGGAUGAGGAUGAGGCAGCAGGAGCGGGGAGCAGGUGCAGGGUAGGGGGGGCCUGCACUUGGUACUUUCCGCCCCUGCCUUGCGCCAGGAAAACUGCUGCUGUGUGAGGCAGUGUGGACCCCUGUAGGAAUUGCUUAAGGGUUGCAGGUGCAAUUAGAGCUUCGUGGAAGUGGGGAGCGUUGCUAUGGGGACAAAUACAUCCCAUGCACAACCAAGUAUUCGGCCAACACAGAUUUCCCGAACCCCUGACAUAGGCCAGGUGCUCUUCACACCACAGGUGCGGAGGUGACGCAGGACAGAGCCAGCCUCUGUCCCCACACAACUUGUUCCUGAAAGGGGCAGAGUCACACAGUGAAAGGGGGCGAAGUGUCGCGACACCCACGUCCCACUUUAAAGUGCCCGGAGUUUUGGGGCCGGCGCCGUGGCUCACUUAGUUGAUCCUCCGCCUGCGGCGCCAGCAUCCCAUAUCGACACCGGGCUCUAGUCCCGGUUGCUCCUCUUCCAGUCCAGCUCUCUGCUGUGGUCUGGGAGUGCAGUGGAGGAUGGCUCAAGUGCUUGGGCUCUGCACCUCAUGGGAGACCAGGAGGAAGCACCUGGCUCCUGGCUUCAGAUUGGUGCAGCGUGCUGACUGUAGCAGCCAUUUGGGGGGGUGAACCAACGGGAGAAGGGCCUUUUCUCUCUGUCUCUCUCUCUCUCUCACUGUCUGUAACUCUACCUGUCAAAUAAUAAAAAAAAAAAAGUGCUCGGGUUCCCGGGUUCAAGUCCUGGCUCUGGCUCCUGACCCCAGCUUCCUGCUGCUUCAGACCCUGGGAGGCAGCGAUGAUGCCACCCAUGUGGGAGACCCGGAUGCAGUUCCCGGCUCUUGGCUUCAGCUCCAGCCCAGCCCUGGCUGCUGUCGGCAUUUGAGGAGCAAACCAGCAGAUGGGAGCUUCCUCUGUCUUUGUCUACCUGGCUCUGAAAUAAAGUUUGUUUUUUUUUUUUUUAAUAGAGAAAAGGAGGAGUUGAGAACGAGCAGCAGUCAGGAGUCAGCUGGGAGCUCGUGGGCCCAGGGGACCUCUGUGCUGGAGCCCCCAUUUCCAUGAUGACGAGGACAGUGACUAUCACCAGGAGUCAUACAAGGAGUCCUACAAAGACUGGCGGCAGCGAGCACACAUACAGACUGAGCAGAAGAGGAGGGACGCCAAAUAAUAAAAAAAUGAUCGUGGUGAUUCGGUGAGACA